RNAcentral lists this ribosomal RNA (497 nucleotides) under uncultured bacterium. Its description in RNAcentral is "partial 16S ribosomal RNA". It matches the Rfam family "Bacterial small subunit ribosomal RNA", at positions 28 to 507 of the family's 1533-position model. The record is from RNAcentral.
GAUGAACGCUGGCGGCGUGCCUAAUACAUGCAAGUCGAGCGAACAGACGAGGAGCUUUCCCCUCUGACGUUAGCGGCGGACGGGUGAUUAACACGUGGAUAACCUACCUAUAAGACUGGGAUAACUUCGGGAAACCGGAGCUAAUACCGGAUAAUAUAUUGAUCCGCAUGGUUCAAUAGUGAAAGACGGUUUUGCUGCCACUUAUAGAUGGAUCCGCGCCGCAUUAGCUAGUUGGUAAGGUAACGGCUUACCAAGGCGACGAUGCGUAGCCGACCUGAGAGGGUGAUCGGCCACACUGGAACUGAGACACGGUCCAGACUCCUACGGGAGGGAGCAGUAGGGAAUAUUCCGCAAUGGGCGAAAGCAUGACGGAGCAAGGCCGCGUGAGUGAUGAAAGUCUUCGGAUCGUAAGACUCUGUUAUUAGGGAAGAACAAAUGUGUAAGUAACUAUGCACGUCUUGACGGUACCUAAUCAGAAAGCCACGGCUAACUACGUG